This 4603-nucleotide long non-coding RNA is filed under the name Salvia miltiorrhiza (redroot sage). RNAcentral's name for it is "long non-coding RNA (SMIL_LNC008353)". The record is from RNAcentral. Lineage: Eukaryota; Viridiplantae; Streptophyta; Magnoliopsida; Lamiales; Lamiaceae.
AUUGAAGUGUGAUGCAUUUAUCUAGAAUAUUCUAGGUGAGAAUAAGCUAUGAAUAUUCUAGAGAAUUCACCACUAGCUAGAUUAAUCUAGAGUAUUCUAAAUAAUACUAGGACAAGAAUGAGUAUUCUAGAGAUUAGAUAUUUUCUAUAUAGUAUCUAGAGAAUUCCUUAAGUGGAUGUUAGUAGAGAAUUCUAGAUACAAGUUAGUGUAGUGGGAUCUAGAAAGAUCUUCCCACACCUAUAAAUAGAGCUCUUGUGAGCCAUUUGUAACCAAUCUCAUAAUCUAAACAUCUCAAAAACAUCACUCUAUCUAAUAUUAUCUAAGUUCUUUGGAGACAAGAGCUCCACUCUAAAAUCAUUCUCUCUAUCUUCUACACACACUACACUCACAAUAUUCUCUACACCACUUCACUACAAUCACUCACCACACUCAAACCACUAUAUAAUCACCUCCAUUUUCUAACAAGUGGCAUCAGAGCUUGUUCGAUCAUAAGCGGGCGUUAUGGCGUCGUCAAGUCUCUCCAUCACGACUCCAAUAUUCAAUGGAGAAAACUAUGACUAUUGGAGUGUUCGUAUGAAGACUUGCCUUGAAUCCCAUGAUCUUUGGGAUGUCAUUGAAGAAGGAAUCACCAUGCCGGGAGAAGAUAUCGACAAGACAUCCUCAUCCGAGGUACGUAAGAAAUUAAAGCAACAAAAUGCUAAAGCUCUUUAUCUUCUCCAACAAUCUGUUAGUGAUUCUAUCAUGGGAAGAAUUAUUCGAGCCACUACUGCAAAAGAAGCUUGGGAUAUCCUUAAGGAGGAGUUCCAAGGAAAUGUUAAAGUUCGAACCAUUAAACUGCAAAGUUUAAGGCGAGAACUAGAGAAUCUUAAAAUGAAAGAUUCAGAAGCCGCAAAAGAUUAUUUCUCAAGAAUAAUGGAAAUAAUCAAUCAAAUGCGGUCAUACGGAGAGAACGUCUCCGAUGAAAGGAUCAUACAGAAGAUCUUAAUCAGCCUUACCGAGAAGUAUGAUCCAGUAGUGGCGGCGAUUGAAGAAUCAAAAGAUUUGUCAAAAAUGCCCGUCGCGGAGCUGAUGGGUUCCUUGGAAGCACACGAGCAACGAUUGAGUAGGCGACAUGAAAGUUCACUUGAGAGUGCCUUUCAGUCCAAACUCAACGUUAGAGGCAAUAAGUCAAGGAGCGGCGGAAAUUUUAAAAGCAAUCACAAGGAAGGAAGCUCCAGCAACAAGGAGAGCAAGGUAAAUUUUCCACCAUGCGGAAUUUGCAGGAAGACAAAUCACUUGGAGAAGAAUUGCUAUCAUCGAGGAAAGCCACAGUGCAAAAACUGCAAAAGGUUCGGGCACAUGGAAAAAGAUUGCAGAGAUAGAAGAAAUCAUCAAGCCAACUAUCAGAAAAUCAAAAAUGAGAAGGAGAACAUGUUCUAUGCAUGUCACUCGGCAACGGAAGCAGGAGAAGAAGAAUGGUACAUCGAUAGCGGAUGCAGCAACCACAUGACAUCCAACGAGACCAUCUUCCGUGAGUUAGAUACUUCAGUCAAGACGAAGGUGAAGAUGGGCAAUGGAGAACUGAUGGAGACGAAAGGGAAAGGUACAAUUGCCAUAGAAACUAAUAAAGGUACGCGAUUUAUAGAAAUGUUCUCCUAGUACCUCGUCUUGCACAAAGUCUAUUAAGUGUUGGCCAAAUGAUGGAAAAUGGAUAUGCCCUCCACUUUGAGAAAGAUUCUUGUCGAAUUUACGACAAGAAAAAUAACCAAGAUAUUGCAGUAGUAAAAAUGGGAAAAAAUAGAAACUUUCCCAUUCAAUGGCAAUAUCCACAAAAGGCAAUGGUGGCUCAACUCGACGAUACGAGUCUAUGGCACCGGAGAUUUGGGCAUUUCAACCUAAAUGCCUUGAGGCUACUUCAUCAGAAAAAUAUGAUGAGAGAUAUGCCUCUUCUAAAUGAAAGAGAAGGUGUAUGCGAAGGAUGCAUGAUCGGAAAGCAACACAGACAACCAUUUCCAACGGAGAAAACAUGGCGAGCCAAGGAGAUACUAGAGCUUGUCCACACCGACGUUUGCGGUCCAAUGCGCACACCUUCAGUAAACCAAAACAGGUACUUCAUACUCUUUAUUGAUGACUACUCUAGAAUGACUUGGGUAUAUUUUCUCCAAGAAAAAUCAGAAGUCUUUAGAAUCUUCAAGAGAUUCAAGAACUUUGUGGAGAACCAAAGUGGUCGCAAAAUAAAGAAACUGAGAAGCGAUCGAGGUACCGAAUACAACUCAAAAGAGUUCGACAAGUUCUGUGAAGAUGAAGGUGUGGAGCAUCAACUAACGGUGGCCUACACUCCACAACAAAACGGCGUGUCGGAAAGAAAGAAUCGAACAGUCAUGGAGAUGGCGAGAUCCAUGCUGGCGGAGAAAGGAUUGCCAAAGAAGUUUUGGGCAGAGGCAGUGUAUACAUCAGUCUACCUACUCAACCGAUGUCCAACAAAGGCCGUGCUAAACAAGACGCCGAUCGAAGCUUGGUCAGGGCAAAAGCCUUCAGCCAAACAUUUGAGGGUCUUUGGAAGUAUCUGCUACAUCCACAUUCCCUCAGUAAAAAGACACAAACUGGAGGACAAGACGGAGAAGGGAAUCUUCCUCGGCUAUAGCUCUAAAUCCAAGGGGUAUAGAAUCUACAAUCUUGAGACCAAGAAGCUGGUGACAAGUCGAGACGUGGAAUUUGACGAACAAGCCUCCUGGAAUUGGGAGACAGAAAGUGUUGAAAGGCAGACAACAACUACACUCCUAAAAGAAGUCACAGAACAUGGAGAACAAGAUCAACAAAGCCCACCAAGGUCCUCUUCAGAAGCCAAUACCUCAAGUGGAUCCGACUCAGACUCCUCACCAGACUUUCCACCUUUUCGGGUAAGAACUCUAGAAGAUUUAUAUGAAUCCACUGAUAUAUAUGAGACAUGCAACUUUUGUUCUUUGGAGCCAAAUAACUAUGCAGAAGCAUCCAAAGAGAAAGUUUGGAUUAAAGCAAUGGAGGAGGAGAUAAAAAUGAUAGAAAAGAAUGAUACUUGGGAGUUGGUGGAUCUUCCAAGUGACAAGGAAGUCAUUAGAGUCAAAUGGGUGUUCAAGACAAAGCUGAAUCCUGAUGGUUCGAUCCAGAAGCAUAAGGCAAGACUUGUCGCAAAAGGAUAUGCUCAAGUACCAGGAGUCGACUACACAGAAACGUUUGCUCCAGUAGCCCGGAUGGACACAAUUCGAGCACUCAUAGCUCUAGCGGCUCAAAAGAGAUGGAAAAUCUAUCAACUUGAUGUUAAGUCGGCAUUUCUCAAUGGAGAUCUAACAGACAAGAUAUAUGUGGAGCAGCCAGAAGGAUUCACAAAGCAAGAAGGCAAAGUUCUUCGUCUCAAGAAAGCACUCUAUGGGCUCAAACAAGCGCCACGAGCCUGGUACAGCAAAAUAGACGGAUAUUUCACCGGUCAAGGAUUCAUGAGGAGCAAGAACGAGGCCACUCUCUACAUCAAAACUCUAGGUACGGACAUCCUGAUCGUCUCUCUUUAUGUUGAUGACUUAAUUGUCACAGGAAAUAACACAAAAUUGAUCGAGGAUUUCAAGAAAGACAUGAUGAGCACCUUUGAGAUGACGGACUUAGGAUUAAUGCACUAUUUUCUCGGAAUGGAGAUAAGUCAAGAGGAAGAAGGCAUCUUCCUAUCACAAAAGAAGUAUAUUGAAGAUAUGCUCAAGAAGUUCAAGAUGCAAGACUCCAAGCCAGUGGUUACACCUCUCAUUCCAAAUGAGAAGUUGAAGAAACUGAGUUGCACUAUCAACAGCAGAAGCUGAGUAUGUUGCAGCAGCCGAAGCAGCAUGUCAAGCUAUAUGGCUUAGAAGAAUACUAGCGGAUAUGGGCGAACCGCAAGACUCAUCGACAGAGAUCUACUGCGAUAACAAGUCAGCUAUAGCAAUGGCUAAGAAUCCAGUUCAGCACAAUCGCACCAAGCACAUCGACAUCAAGUAUCACUUCUUAAGAGAUGUUGAAGCAAAGAAACUUAUCGAGAUGAAGUAUUGUCCAACAGAAGAGCAGUUGGCGGACAUCUUCACAAAAGCACUACCAAGGGACAGAUUCCAGUUUCUACGAAGAAUGCUUGGAGUAACCGAUAAAUGCAUCAAGGAGGAGUAUUGAAGUGUGAUGCAUUUAUCUAGAAUAUUCUAGGUGAGAAUAAGCUAUGUAUAUUCUAAAGAAUUCACUACUAGCUAGAUUAAUCUAGAGUAUUCUAAAUAAUACUAGGACAAGUAUGAGUAUUCUAGAGAUUAGAUAUUUUUCAUAUAGUAUCUAGAGAAUUCCUUAAGUAGAUGCUAGUAGAAAAUUCUAGAUACAAACUAAUGUAGUGGGAUCUAGAGAGAUCUUCCCACACCUAUAAAUAGAGCUCUUGUGAGCCAUUUGUAACUAAUCUCAAAACCAAUCUCACAUAAUCUCAAACAUCUCAAAAACAUCACUCUAUCUAAUAUUAUCUAAGUUCUUUGGAGACAAGAGCUCCACUCUAAAAUCAUUAUCUCUAUCUUCUACACACACUACACUCACAAUAUUCUCUACACCACUUCACUACAAUCACUCACCAUACUCAAACCUCUAUAUAAUCACC